Molecule: ribosomal RNA, 333 nt
Filed under: Triticum aestivum (bread wheat)
Lineage: Eukaryota; Viridiplantae; Streptophyta; Magnoliopsida; Poales; Poaceae
Description: partial small subunit ribosomal RNA
Source: RNAcentral
AUGGACCUGCGUCUUCCAGUGUCCACGGCCUGCCGGCGUCCUUCCCGGCGCUGCCCCGGCUGUCGUGCUCCGAUUGCUGCAUCCUCUCUCGUCUUCGGCUCGCUGGCGUUUCGUCGGCUACGCCCCGACAACUUGGAGCUGCGUUCCCUUUUCCGGUUCCUAGCUUGUUGGUGGCGUCGGUUGCCAUCCCAUCCUCCGCGUCAGCUCUCUUUACCACGCCGCCUUUCUGACCCCGUCCACCUCCAUGCCAUGCUGGUCCCAAAGCUCAUGUUUUCUCGGCGAUGCCCGGUGCCUCCCGCUCCGGUGGAAAGCGCAGCCCCACCCUCCUUUUGA